RNAcentral lists this ribosomal RNA (207 nucleotides) under Vibrio sp. V23_P3S9T160. RNAcentral's name for it is "partial 16S ribosomal RNA". It matches the Rfam family "Bacterial small subunit ribosomal RNA", at positions 1 to 214 of the family's 1533-position model. Lineage: Bacteria; Pseudomonadati; Pseudomonadota; Gammaproteobacteria; Vibrionales; Vibrionaceae. The record is from RNAcentral.
UUAAUUGAAGAGUUUGAUCAUGGCUCAGAUUGAACGCUGGCGGCAGGCCUAACACAUGCAAGUCGAGCGGCAGCACAGAGGAACUUGUUCCUUGGGUGGCGAGCGGCGGACGGGUGAGUAAUGCCUAGGAAAUUGCCCUGAUGUGGGGGAUAACCAUUGGAAACGAUGGCUAAUACCGCAUGAUGCCUACGGGCCAAAGAGGGGGAC